RNAcentral lists this ribosomal RNA (495 nucleotides) under uncultured bacterium. RNAcentral's name for it is "partial 16S ribosomal RNA". It matches the Rfam family "Bacterial small subunit ribosomal RNA", at positions 29 to 507 of the family's 1533-position model. The record is from RNAcentral.
AUGAACGCUGGCGGCGUGCCUAAUCCAUGCAAGUCGAGCGCACAGACGAGGAGCUUGCUCCUCUGAUGUUAGCGGCGGACGGGUGAGUAACACGUGGAUAACCUACCUAUAAGACUGGGAUAACUUCGGGAAACCGGAGCUAAUACCGGAUAACAUGUUGAACCGCAUGGUUCAACAGUGAAAGACGGUCUUGCUGUCACUUAUAGAUGGAUCCGCGCCGCAUUAGCUAGUUGGUAAGGUAACGGCUUACCAAGGCAACGAUGCGUAGCCGACCUGAGAGGGUGAUCGGCCACACUGGAACUGAGACACGGUCCAGACUCCGACGGGAGGCAGCAGUAGGGAAUCUUCCGCAAUGGGCGAAAGCCUGACGGAGCAACGCCGCGUGAGUGAAGAAGGUCUUCGGAUCGUAAAACUCUGUUAUUAGGGAGAACAAAUGUGUAAGUAACUAUGCACGUCUUGACGGUACCUAAUCAGAAAGCCACGGCUAACUACGUG